AGCCUUCACUUUCCCUUCCUCAGGAGGAAGACACUGCUGAGGAUUGUGUUUGCAUUUUACAGAUUCCAUCUCACGAAUUAAAAAUGCUGAGGUGGUCAACUGUUAUCAAUUCUAUGUUUCCCAGUAAUGUUUAACCUUAAGUUAGAAAAAAAAAAUCUAAGAGAUAAAACAGCAUGUUAUCUGGCCAGUCCAUUCCACCCCCAGUGGUUAUAAUUUCAGAACACUUCUGAAUUCCUUCUCCGUGGCUAUGCUUUAGGAGAGGAGCAGACAGCUCUUUGCCAGGGUCAGAUUUCAGAUUCUCAUCUAUUGGUGGCAAUACCACCACCAGAUUCUUCUUUGAAGUCAACUUUUGAGAUCUUCCUUAAGUACACCUUGGUGUCUGAAGAUUCGCACAAGUGCCUCUGGUAAUCAUUUUCUUCAGGGAAUCACAGCCUCUCCUCUCAGCAAAGCAUCCACUGUACUGAACUUUGCUUUUGAAAACGUCUUCUUCCUGAUACCUCAUUGAAAGAAGCUCUCUGGUGUCAUACUUUCCAGUAUGGAGGCGAAGAACUUUGCAAUUUGGGAUUAUGUUGUAUUUGCAGCCCUCUUUUUGGUUUCCUCUGGAAUUGGGGUGUUCUUUGCCAUUAAGGAGAGGAAAAAGGCAACUUCCCGAGAGUUCCUGGUUGGGGGAAGGCAAAUGAGCUUUGGCCCUGUCGCCUUGUCUCUGACAGCCAGCUUCAUGUCAGCUGUCACGGUCCUGGGGACCCCUUCUGAAGUCUACCGCUUUGGGGCAUCCUUCAUAAUCUUCUUCAUUGCUUACCUAUUUGUCAUCAUCUUAACAUCAGAGCUCUUUCUCCCUGUGUUCUACAGAUCUGGUAUCACCAGCACUUAUGAGUACUUACAACUACGAUUCAACAAACCAGUUCGCUAUGCUGCCACAGUCAUCUACAUUGUACAGACGAUUCUCUACACAGGAGUGGUGGUGUAUGCUCCUGCCCUGGCACUCAAUCAAGUGACUGGGUUUGACCUCUGGGGCUCUGUGUUUGCAACAGGAAUUGUUUGCACAUUCUACUGUACUCUGGGAGGAUUAAAAGCAGUGGUGUGGACAGAUGCAUUUCAGAUGGUUGUCAUGUUUGUGGGCUUCUUAACGGUUCUCAUUCAAGGAUCAACUCAUGCUGGGGGAUUCCACAAUGUAUUAGAGCAAUCAACAAAUGGAUCUCGACUACAUAUAUUUGACUUUGAUGUAGAUCCUCUCAGGCGACACACUUUUUGGACUAUCACAGUGGGAGGAACUUUUACAUGGCUCGGAAUCUAUGGGGUCAAUCAAUCAACUAUUCAGCGAUGCAUCUCUUGCAAAACAGAAAAGCAUGCUAAGCUGGCCUUGUAUUUUAACUUGCUGGGUCUCUGGAUCAUUCUGGUGUGUGCUGUCUUCUCUGGCUUAAUCAUGUACUCUCACUUCAAAGACUGUGACCCUUGGACUUCGGGCAUCAUCUCAGCACCAGACCAGCUGAUGCCAUACUUUGUCAUGGAGAUAUUUGCCACAAUGCCAGGACUGCCAGGACUUUUUGUGGCUUGUGCCUUCAGUGGAACUCUGAGCACCGUGGCUGCCAGCAUCAAUGCCUUGGCAACAGUGACCUUUGAGGAUUUUGUCAAGAGCUGUUUUCCCCAUCUCUCCGACAAGCUGAGCACCUGGAUCAGUAAAGGCUUAUGUAGGUCUCUUAUUUGGCGUGCUGUGUACCACUAUGGCUGUGGCUGCAUCCGUCCUGGGAGGUGUUGUGCAGGCUGCCCUCAGCAUUCACGGCAUGUGCGGGGGACCAAUGCUGGGUUUAUUCUCCUUGGGUAUUGUGUUCCCGUUUGUGAACUGGAAGGGUGCACUAGGAGGUCUUCUUACUGGAAUCAUCUUGUCAUUUUGGGUGGCCAUUGGGGCCUUCGUUUACCCUGCACCAGCCUCUAAGACAUGGCCUUUGCCUCUAUCAACAGACCAAUGUAUCAAAUCAAAUGUGACAGCAACAGGGUCUCCAGUGCUAUCCAGCAGACCUGCAAUAGCUGAUACCUGGUACUCAAUCUCCUACCUUUACUACAGUGCAGUGGGCUGCCUAGGAUGCAUUGCUGCUGGAGUAAUCAUCAGCCUCGUAACAGGUCGCCAAAGAGGUGAGGAUAUUCAACCACUGUUAAUUAGACCAGUUUGUAAUUUAUUUUGCUUUUGGUCUAAGAAGUACAAAACACUAUGCUGGUGCGGAGUUCAGCAUGACAGUGGUACAGAGCAGGAAAACCUUGAGAAUGGCAGUGCCUGGAAACAAGGGGCUGAAUCUGUCUUACAGAAUGGACUCAGGAAAGAAAGCCUGGUACAUGUUCCAGGCUAUGAUCCUAAGGACAAAAGCUACAACAAUAUGGCAUUUGAGAUUACCCAUUUCUAAGGCAAUACCUGUAUGAAUGCACACACACACACAGACACACACAAUAUACACACACACAAACACACAAACUCCACAUACUUCUUGCCUAUUUGUUAGUAGAUUUGUAUAGUUGCCAUUGCUAGCAGACAGGGAUGUCUGCUGCCUAUUUGUACUUAUUUAUUACUACAUGCAAAAUACUGUUUCCCAGGAUAUUAUCUGAAAGACUCCAACUUUCACAGAGAAAAACCAAUCUGCUCCAAAUGUCCUUGACUACUUCCUUCUUGAAUAAAUUAGGACUGGAUUUCAUCACCAUUCAAGAAAUCAAAGUCUGUUUGCUUGGUGUCGUAUUAAACUUCAGGUUUUUCAUUUUAGUAGUUUUUUAACCAUCAAAAUAUCUUGGAUUUUAAAGGCAGAAUGGGCAAUAGGAAUAUGCAUAUUAUUGCUUUUCUACCACGAGGAAUAAAACAGAGGAAUGACAUCCACCUCUGACCUCAUACCUCACAUAUAUGCAGACAUUUUAUGCCACCCAUCUCCCAUCCUGUAGCUGCAAUUGGCAUACAACUAUUAACAUACUAUUAACAUCCCUUCACCACCACUAUUAGGUCCUCUUCCAGUCAUUCCAGUCAUUAGCUGUCCUGACCAAACAUUAAAAAAAAAUUCAGCUAAGUGCAGAAGGAGAAUAUGGUAUGUCUGGCUAGUGGGAGCGAUUAUAACUAAAAUCUCUGCUCCUUUUAUGUUGUCCAUGCAGUAUUUCUUCUUCCUUUCUAUCACUUUACAAUGAAAAAUUGCCUCAGAGCUCAAUAAGAAGUCUGGAGCCUUUUUCCAGGGCUAAGUAAAGAGAAAAGGAAUGUCCUAUAGAAGGUUGUUAGAAUAGAAUUUGGUAAAAGAACGUUGCAAAUAGUAAACAGACCAUAGAUUUCACCAGCAAUAGUGUUCUUCUUUGGACAAAACACAUUGUCCACAAGACUUGUACUCUGCUCAUUCAGCUCAUGUGAGCAAGUUCAACUCACUCCACCGGGUAAGGUAACAAAAAUGGAGAACUUCAUAGUUCGUGUCUAGAAAAUAAUGUUUAAAGUUCUGGAUAAUGAGGGCAUUGCCAAUUAAAAGGCGAGUUGACAAAUGAAGGAGCAGUGAAAGAUUUUUGGAGGAAGUGAAGAAAUAAAAUUCUGAAAAGGUAAAAGAAAGAAACAGUAUGUCACGGGGCAAAGUCAGAGGACAGAUAAUAAGAAACAAAGUUGUAUCUGAGAGUCAUAUAUUAGGACAGGUGUCAGAUAUUUAUUUUGGCGGCCAGAUAAGAGCAAAAGGCCUAGAAACAUUGCAUUAGCAAAGUAAGAAGAAAUAGUUCAAAUAGGCAAGCAUAAGGAACUCCAAAGGUUGUCUUUAAAUAGUUCUUGAAAGAGAAAGCCUUGAAAGAAGCAUGCAAUAGACAAUACCAAUAUCUAUUAUUAGAAAAGAUAGAAAGACAGACAAAUCAAUGGAGGAAUUAAAACAGACACACUGGAGUUUACAAAACAGAACUCAAUCCUUGCCUUCUCUCCCUCCACUCAAAUAGAAAAGGAGAAUAGAGAAAGAGAAAAAAGGUAUUGGGCUACAGUUUAUAAGAGAGAUGAGAAAAAAAAUACAUUUGGGAUAAGAGGGAAGGGGUCAAAAGGGGGCACAUUUGGAGAAAUAUCUGAAAACGAGAAGGAGCAGAAUUUUUGGAAACAUUUUUCAAAGUCUGGCAAUGCUAAUUAAGCUGUUGAUCUAAGGAUUUGCAAAUUGAGAGGUGCAAUUAUUUUCCAAAUGACUUGUGAUACUCUUAUUAAUUAGAAUACAUAUUUUGUGAAUAUUGAAAUCUGAGCCAAACCUAGUUGGCUUUAUUAAUAUCUUAGGGAAAGAAGAGAGAAAGAAAGAGGGAGAGACAGAGAGAGAAAGAAAGAAAGGAAGAGGGAGAGAGAGAGAGAGAAAGAAUAAAAAGGAAAAAACAGCAAUUCUGAGGAUGAGAAUAAAUUAAUGGUAGGCAUUAUAUAUGCAUGUACAUAUAUAUACAUGUGCAUACAUAUAUAUGUAAAUAUGAUUUGGAAUACAUCAGGAUUGUGAACUUCCAUUUGGGAUAGCAUAAAAACAAAAUAUACCGUACAGUUUUUCCUUUUACUCACAAAUUUUACUCAUACAUUUUCCUAAAGACAUUUCACUGGGUCAGUACAUUUCCGCAAAAGUUUUAAAAAUGUUUUUUCUUUUACAGUCCCUAAUUAUCUUACCUGGAGUGUUAUCAAAAUGUCAUACAACUGGAAGAUGCAAUUAUUAUAAUAAAAAUAUCUCUGCCUUC
Molecule: non-coding RNA, 4683 nt
Organism: Macaca mulatta (Rhesus monkey)
Lineage: Eukaryota; Metazoa; Chordata; Mammalia; Primates; Cercopithecidae
Source: RefSeq, a predicted model, not a curated record